GCCAGAUGCUGUUUGCGAGGGUUGGUGCCACUGCAAACCCUCAAGAUGCUGCAAGUCACAAAUGAUGCUUCUAGGGCCAGAGAAAUGAAAAGGAACCCCAAACCAUUAUCCCAAGGAUUGCCAAACCUAGAAUUACUGGAAGCAGCUGAAUGUUUGGACAGGCUGGAGCUUGGUUAAUGAGCAGCAUACAAGUGAGCUUACUGGCACGGAGAUCCACACUCCAAGGAGCAUUCAUGUCAAUGUCUGCUGCAGCUCUUCACAGCAGUCCUUCAUACUGAGAUGAGACUCUCCUGGUUUCUGCAAGCAUUUAUUGUGUGAAGGAAUGGCCUGUUACAAAACCACUGUUCAUCCCUGUUGUCCCAACUCAAACUUUUUCCAACAUCAGUCCAUCUUCUUGGAAAGUGAGAAGGAACAGAACUACACGUACGUAUCCAAGCUUUGGACAAAACAUGGAUUUAGACAGCAACAUGGUGAUAUAAUCUGUAUUUUUAAGAAAGCUAAAUAUUCCUGUUUUAUUAUGACUGUGCACUGAGAUGAUGUGUUUGUUAUACACCCUGCUUUACUACUGCUGAACUGUAAGCUUUCAGAAGGUUCCCCAACAUUAUAUCUUUGAAGUUAGGAGUGUUUUUUCAUAUCUAUCCAUUUAUGUUAGAGCUAAUAUAUCAUUUUAAGACCUCAUUACUUGGUCCUUAGGGUUUUGCUAAUAUUUUCUACACAAAAUACACAGUUAUGCUAUAGAAACCCAGCUUCACUUAAUACAA
Molecule: non-coding RNA, 761 nt
Organism: Phasianus colchicus (ring-necked pheasant)
Lineage: Eukaryota; Metazoa; Chordata; Aves; Galliformes; Phasianidae
Source: RefSeq, a predicted model, not a curated record